UCACAACAACAAGCUUUUAUCUCCUUCUAAGUUGAUCAUUCUGCAUUGGAAAACUAUGAGGAAUUCAUUGCAUAACUAUGAGGCAUUAACUCGAAAUUAAUCGAAAGAAACGAGUUUUAAAACUUUCACUUGAUGUUGGAUCAAUGGUCUUAAUACAUAGAAAAUAUUAAUUUUAUUUAUCAUAUAUUUAUUUAAUUAAUUAAAAUAAUUAAGAAAAUAAAUGAAAUGCUAAAAGAAAUUAAAUAAAAUCAAAGGGGGGAGGAGGGAUAAAGCAUCGGGGAUUAUACAACAAUCAAAUAAUGGUCCAAGGCCCAAAGUAAAUAAUAAAAAAACUUUAACAAAAAGAAACUGGGGGUGCUGGUAGAAACUAGGCCCAGGGAGGCCCUAUAAUAAUCAAAUAUAAAAACAAAAUAAAAAGGAAAAUUGAGGCCCAACCAAGGCCCAAUGUUGAUCAAUGCUAGAGGGAGGGGGUCAACAUAGUUGACUCAUACGUCAACCUCAUGAUCUUAUUACCACAAAAUUUGAUGCUUGAAAGGUGAGAGUACAUUGGUGUCACCAAGGGCCGUCCAUACACUGGUGUGGUCAGCAAGGGGAAAGUCAAUGAUCUGAAUCUCAAGGGUAAGCCACAUGUGACCACACGUGUCACCAAGGGAGACAAUCAGAGAGAGAAAUACUCAAGGGGGAGGUCAGGCGUGGAAUCAUUUUUCAUAUGAUCCUCUCUCUCUUCACUCUCGCUAACUCUCGUAUCUCUCAUACUCUCUACAUUAGCCCUCACAUAAACAAUUUAAACAACAACAAAAAAGCAACCAGGUGAAUCAUUCACGGUGGUUGUGAUGAACACCACGAUGGUGUUCAUCCACCACAACCCAGAAUUUCGAAAACCCAACCAAAAUAAAAAAGACUUCAAUACAGACCCUAGGUGAAGUUUAUCCCUAAACAUGAUUCUAACAUCUAUUUGGUCAAACAAAUAAACAAAUCCCCAGAUCUAACCAGUUCCCAAUCUGAAAGCCUAAGAAUGGAAACUCCAAAUCAAUUAUGAAAACCAUACAAAUCAUGUAAUUAAGCGCAUAAUAAGUAGAAAGCAAUAACAAAUGUGAGGAACACGCAAAAAUAAGGGAGAUAAAGGCCUUGCCGGAGCUUUGAAAAUCCGGUGAGGUUUCCGGCUAACCUCAACGUACGAUACUCUGAGUUCUUUCUCCUUGUCUGCUUACUCUUUAAAUUCCUCUUUUACUCCUUUUGUCUAUUCCUCCUAUAUGUGUUGUAUAAGUGUCUCCGGUGAAGGUGAGAGCAGUUAAAUGAGGCUUGUGAGCUCAACUCGUUUCAAACAUCAGUUAGAAGUUUAGGGAGUUUUGGAUGAAGAGUUUUAGUAAGGGCGUUAGUAUGGAAUUGGGCAGAGAUUUGGCAUUUUUUCAUGUGUUUUUGAGUGAUCAAUAGGCUCCUUUUUAAAGGUGAAAUAAGGAGUGGAUUACAAGAAAAGAGGGGAGAAAGUGGUGAGCAAUGUGAUUUUUUGGGGGAGAAUUCCUUAGGAAUUUGUGUGAACAGAUUAGAGGGAAAACUGAGAUUCAUUUGAGAUGAAAAGUUUGUUGAGUUUUUGUGUUAGUUUGAUGCAUGUUGAUAAACUUUGAUGGUAUGGAGUAUGUUGAGAUGGUUCACGCGUAUCUUCUUGUGUAAUUUGUUAAUUUGAUUUUCUUUACUUGUUUUAAUUCAAUUAAAGUUGAUGUAGAUGUAUGUCACAUGUUAAUGAUGGAUGAUAUCAUUAGUUUCAUGUUGAAUGAUAUGGUGCGUUGGUACGAUGUUGGCUGCACAUGUUUGCUGCUCUUUUUGUUCUCUUUUUUUCAAAUUUGACUUAAUGAUGAUAUAAGGUUAGUGACAUUUGUUAUGCUGAUAUGUGUGUGUAUGUUGAGUGGUGUUGGCUUGGUAGGUUGCUAUGGGCUGAUGUUAUGGUAUGUCAAUGUUGAAAACUCACAUGUCCUUGUUCUCAUUUGGUCGCUCAGUCUUGCAUGGGAUAUGUGUUAAGUGAUGAUGGUGAUGAUGAAUGGCGUGAAGAUGAUGAAGAGGAAGCCUUGUGUGGUGUGAUGCGCAAAGGUGAUGUUGAUGAGUUAUAUGAGUAAAAAUGUGGGACCACAACCAAUUGGGCUUAGCUUUUUGGUAUUUCAGUUUUUUACUUUUUGUAUUCUAAAAGGUAGGAGAAAGGUAGGUUUUAGAGAAAUCAUCAGACAUACCUAGAAAAUAGGCAAAAAUGAGAGAAAGAGAAAAAGCUAGGAAUUUGAAGAGGGAACUCAUAGAAGAUGUCCAAUUCAACAUCAAUUUAUGGAGAUCUAAGGUAAGGGGGAGAAUAACUUUAAAUAAGAGAUUAUGCCUUAGGGGUAGGGUAGAGGAGUCCUUAACUUCCAAUAAGGAAGAUAAUUUUGAUGAUUUCUAUGUGUGUUCUUGAGGAAUAAUAUCCUCCUGAUUAUAUUGGUAUGAAUUCGUAUGAAUUGAUGUCUAAAAUUCUGCAAUGUAUGUAUGUCUGUUUUCCACCAUUGUUGAAAUGUUGAAUGUUUUAGUGAUGUGAAUUGAUGAAUUGGUGAUUGAAUUGAUAUGUUAA
This 2587-nucleotide long non-coding RNA is filed under the name Lathyrus oleraceus (garden pea). Its description in RNAcentral is "Pisum sativum (pea) long non-coding RNA (PSAT_LNC011713)". Lineage: Eukaryota; Viridiplantae; Streptophyta; Magnoliopsida; Fabales; Fabaceae. The record is from RNAcentral.